This 71-nucleotide transfer RNA is filed under the name Thelebolus microsporus. RNAcentral describes it as "tRNA-Asn". It matches the Rfam family "tRNA". From Rfam's summary of the family: Transfer RNA (tRNA) molecules are approximately 80 nucleotides in length. Their secondary structure includes four short double-helical elements and three loops (D, anti-codon, and T loops). Further hydrogen bonds mediate the characteristic L-shaped molecular structure. tRNAs have two regions of fundamental functional importance: the anti-codon, which is responsible for specific mRNA codon recognition, and the 3' end, to which the tRNAs corresponding amino acid is attached (by aminoacyl-tRNA synthetases). tRNAs cope with the degeneracy of the genetic code in two manners: having more than one tRNA (with a specific anti-codon) for a particular amino acid; and 'wobble' base-pairing, i.e. permitting non-standard base-pairing at the 3rd anti-codon position. The record is from RNAcentral. Lineage: Eukaryota; Fungi; Ascomycota; Leotiomycetes; Thelebolales; Thelebolaceae.
GCCUUUAUAGCUCAAUGGUAGAGUAUGAUACUGUUAAUAUUGUGACAGAUGUUAGAUUCAUCUUAAGGGCU